GCGGCAUGCCUUACACAUGCAAGNCGNACGCGAAAGCGGGGCAACCCGNGAGUAGAGUGGCGAACGGGUGAGUAAUGCAUCGGAACGUAUCCCGUCGUGGGGGAUAACCCGCCGAAAGGUGGGCUAAUACCGCAUACGACCUGAGGGAGAAAGCGGGGGACCUGCGAGGGCCUCGCGCGAGGGGAGCGGCCGAUGUCGGAUUAGCUAGUUGGUGGGGUAAAGGCCUACCAAGGCGACGAUCCGUAGCUGGUCUGAGAGGAUGGUCAGCCACACUGGGACUGAGACACGGCCCAGACUCCUACGGGAGGCAGCAGUGGGGAAUUUUGGACAAUGGGGGCAACCCUGAUCCA
Molecule: ribosomal RNA, 350 nt
Filed under: uncultured Acidovorax sp.
Lineage: Bacteria; Pseudomonadati; Pseudomonadota; Betaproteobacteria; Burkholderiales; Comamonadaceae
Description: bacterial SSU rRNA
Rfam family: Bacterial small subunit ribosomal RNA
Source: RNAcentral